UAGAGUUUGAUCCUGGCUCAGAUUGAACGCUAGCGGGAUGCCUUACACAUGCAAGUCGAACGGCAGCACGGACUUCGGUCUGGUGGCGAGUGGCGAACGGGUGAGUAAUGUAUCGGAACGUGCCCAGUAGCGGGGGAUAACUACGCGAAAGCGUAGCUAAUGCCGCAUACGCCCUACGGGGGAAAGCAGGGGGUCGCAAGACCUUGCACUAUUGGAGCGGCCGAUAUCGGAUUAGCUAGUUGGUGGGGUAACGGCUCACCAAGGCGACGAUCCGUAGCUGGUUUGAGAGGACGACCAGCCACACUGGGACUGAGACACGGCCCAGACUCCUACGGGAGGCAGCAGUGGGGAAUUUUGGACAAUGGGGGAAACCCUGAUCCAGCCAUCCCGCGUGUGCGAUGAAGGCCUUCGGGUUGUAAAGCACUUUUGGCAGGAAAGAAACGUCGUGGGUUAAUACCCCGCGAAACUGACGGUACCUGCAGAAUAAGCACCGGCUAACUACGUGCCAGCAGCCGCGGUAAUACGUAGGGUGCAAGCGUUAAUCGGAAUUACUGGGCGUAAAGCGUGCGCAGGCGGUUCGGAAAGAAAGAUGUGAAAUCCCAGAGCUUAACUUUGGAACUGCAUUUUUAACUACCGGGCUAGAGUGUGUC
This 650-nucleotide ribosomal RNA is filed under the name uncultured Achromobacter sp. Its description in RNAcentral is "bacterial SSU rRNA". It matches the Rfam family "Bacterial small subunit ribosomal RNA", at positions 1 to 652 of the family's 1533-position model. Lineage: Bacteria; Pseudomonadati; Pseudomonadota; Betaproteobacteria; Burkholderiales; Alcaligenaceae. The record is from RNAcentral.